AGUGAACGCUGGCGGUAGGCCUAACACAUGCAAGUCGAACGGCAGCACAGUAAGAGCUUGCUCUUACGGGUGGCGAGUGGCGGACGGGUGAGGAAUACAUCGGAAUCUACUUUUUCGUGGGGGAUAACGUAGGGAAACUUACGCUAAUACCGCAUACGACCUACGGGUGAAAGCAGGGGAUCUUCGGACCUUGCGCGAUUGAAUGAGCCGAUGUCGGAUUAGCUAGUUGGCGGGGUAAAGGCCCACCAAGGCGACGAUCCGUAGCUGGUCUGAGAGGAUGAUCAGCCACACUGGAACUGAGACACGGUCCAGACUCCUACGGGAGGCAGCAGUGGGGAAUAUUGGACAAUGGGCGCAAGCCUGAUCCAGCCAUACCGCGUGGGUGAAGAAGGCCUUCGGGUUGUAAAGCCCUUUUGUUGGGAAGGAAAAGCAGCAGGUUAAUACCCCGCUGCUCUGACGGUACCCAAAGAAUAAGCACCGGCUAACUUCGUG
This 492-nucleotide ribosomal RNA is filed under the name uncultured bacterium. RNAcentral's name for it is "partial 16S ribosomal RNA". It matches the Rfam family "Bacterial small subunit ribosomal RNA", at positions 29 to 507 of the family's 1533-position model. The record is from RNAcentral.